This is a long non-coding RNA of Hemicordylus capensis (graceful crag lizard), 2347 nucleotides long. RefSeq lists it as uncharacterized. Lineage: Eukaryota; Metazoa; Chordata; Lepidosauria; Squamata; Cordylidae. The transcript is spliced from 3 exons. The record is from RefSeq and is a predicted model, not a curated record.
CGGAUUCCAAAAGCGUAGCUCUGUUAGGACGUUUUUCACAAGCGUUGCGACGCGUCGCUUGAAAUCGGAGUGUGGUUUUCCCCCCAGCCUCCUCAGUAAGCAAAGGGGCGACGAUGGGCUAGACUUUCUUUCGAUUAAAAAGGAAUCACAGACAGAUUCUGUCUCUGCUAGAUUCAAAUCUAGCCGAAUCACGGACAGAUCUGCUGGAGUUUGCGCAAAUCUGCUAGAAUCUGUUCUAGCAGAUCCUGUUUGCACAAGUGUUCAAGUGAGGCUUUUGAGGAGUAGAGAUACCUGAAUUUUUCAUUCCCAGCCUGGAAAAUCUACAGCUCAGUGGUCACCACGGUGCAUGCAAGAGCAAUAGUGCUUGUUAGGGAAUGCAUCUGCUCAGUUCAUAAGCCCCAGAAGUUUUGAAGGGUGAACGCAAAUGAAACUGUCUGCAUCAGUUUGGAAGCCGGAAAGCACAAGUGAAAAUGUAAAGAUACAAGAGCCCAACAUGUGGUGAGAGAUAGAAAAGAUGCCAGCGGAUGAAGCUGAGAAAUGGAGGAAAGCAGCAUUAGAAGAAAUUGAUUCCCUGCACAAAAAUGAGACCUGGAUACUUGUGGAACUACCCGCUGGAAGUAAGACUGUGGGAUGCAAGUGGGUCUUCAAAGUCAAGCAAGAUGCAGAAGGGGAUGUACAGUGCUACAAAGCCAGACUAGUAGCCAAAGGAUACUCCCAAAUCUAUGGUCAGGACUACGAUGAGAUCUUUGCACCAGUUGUGAAACACACUUCAAUUGGGGCACUGCUCAGCGUGGCAGCAGACAGAAAAAUGGAAGUUGACCACUUGGAUGUAAACACUGCCCUCCUUCAUGGGGAGAUUGAGGAAGACAUCUAAAUGCAACAGCCACCAGGCUUUGAGGUACCUGGAAAGCAGGGGUUUGUAUGCAAACUACAAAAGAGCAUCUAUGGCUUAAAGCAAGCAUCCAGAGCAUGGAAUGAGAAGCUGAAUCAACUACUACUUAAAGAGAGGUUCAUGCAAGGAAAAGCUGACCCCUGCCUAUAUUCAGUAUUCAGGGACAAUAAAUGGACUUACAUCCUGACUUCUGUAGAUGACUUGAUCAUUGCAUAUGAAGAAAGAUGAGAAAGCCAUGAGAUUAUACAGCACCUGAACAAGGAAAUAGAGCUGAAGAAACUCGGAAGCAUCUCCUAUUACCUUGGCAUCCAAAUGGAAAGGGAAGAGGAUGGGACAUUCCUUCUCAACCAGAAGCCAAAGAUAAAGGAUCUUCGAGAAUGCCUGGGACUGACAGAGAGAUGCCAAUGAAGUCAGUACACCAAUGGAUGAAAAUUUCUGGAUGCAAGAUGGAGACUGCAAGACUUUACCAGCCAACAAUCAAUACAGAAAGGCAAUUGGAAAGCUUCUAUAUACAGCCACAAUAAUAAGGCCAGAUAUUCCUUCAGCAGUGGGAAUCCUGAGCAGAAAAGUAAGUGCACCAACCAACAAUGACUGAACUGCAGUCAAGACUGGGAAGAAGUGUAGAAAAGGAAUCUUCAACGCACACUAUGCGUUGGAGAUUCCAGCAAGUAGCAAUCCCCGACUAGAUGCAGAAUGGGGUGAAGACAGAACAGACCACAAGUCCACAAGUGGACAUCUGUUCUUGUAUGGAGAUGGAGCCAUAAGUUGGCCUAGCUGCAAGCAGUCACUUGUUGCACAAUCAUCCAUAGAUGUAGAAUACAUUUCCACAGCUGAAGCGUGCAAAGAAGUGGUGUGGAUACACCAGCUACUAUCAGACUUUGGGAUUGAGGAGCCAAAGCCCACAGUAAUGUUUUGAGGAUAACCAAAGUUGUAUCCAGAUCUCCCAAAUGGAGAAGAUGAAGUCCCAAACUAAGCACAUUCCCAUAAAAUAUUGCUGUGUUCGAGACUUGCAAGAGAAAGAGGUAGUCCAGUUGGAGUACUGCCCAACCGAAGGGAUGGUGGCAGAUGGAUUGACUAAGCCAUUGCCCAAAGACGGAUUCCAGAUGCUUUGUGAGAAGAUGGGGAUUGUGAGCCUGUGAGACAGGCGAUGAGAAGAGAGCCACCAGAAAAUUGCUGAGGUUGGCAUUCACCUGGAACCACGAGAAACCUACCUGGCUCUGCCUCUCUACCCAAUCCUCCCACUCACUUCUACAUUCUUCAUUUCGAUUUCUAGCAACCCCAUUCCUGGGUUCCUUUGCAAAGUCGUGAGGGGGCUGUGCAAGAAAGAGGAAAUGGAUGGGGGUUCUUUCUUGCUGAACCUUGAAUAAAAAUAAACUGGCCUAGAUUUCGGGCUUGGAUUUAACAAACAAACCAAACAAGAAAGCAGAGAGAGAGAGAGAGAGAGAAAUCGGGGCU